ACCUACGUUAUUCCACUCUCUUUGCCUCCAAUAUGUUUUCCCCCAAAAUUGUCAUUUCCCCUCAAACCUAAUUCCCACCUCUUCAAUUGAGGCAGAAAGAUUUAGCAGAAAUACAUUGUUAAGCAAAUUUUGCGAGACACUCGGCUUGAAGAUCCAGAAACGAGAUUUUCUUCCGCUUCGGAGUCUGUUGAAACGCCAUUCGAAUCGAACACUUCCUUGUUCACUGCAGGUACUUGUAUUCCUAAUUUGUUUGUUAAUGCUUGUGCAAAUUAUUUCGUUUUUUAAUUUUAAACUUCAAUUGGCCUUUGGAAUGAAUAUUCGGGUAAUUAUUUUACUGCUCUAGUUUCAUUUUCGCCUGUGAUGGUAAUCAAUCAUGUGGGUUUCAAUUUCAUUGACUGAAGAAUACAGUUGGGAAAAAAAAAAAACUAUCUUUCUAAUUUCCUCAAAAUUUAGAACGAUUUGAUCAAAUCCUAUAGAAUAUGAUAUCCGUGUUGUUUAACUAUGUGGGGGCUGCUUCUGGUGCUGUUCUUCUUUUGGCAUUUAAUGGCACAUUUGGUACUCGCUAAUAGAUGGGAGGGAAGAGUAUUAAAGAAUCUAAAAUAUUUUGGCACAUGCGGUGCAGUGAAUGGUUUGUUUAUAAAUUUUUCAGUUUUUUCCUCUUCCUUGGCUUCUUGGCCUUUAUUUUGUUACAAAUGGUUUUUAUUUUUCUAGAUGCUAGUUGUGGGUUUUUCUAGCUGUGUCAUAUGCUGUUUUGUAUUGGUGUAUUCUUGUGUUUCAUUAACUGUGUGGACACUUGAAGAAAUGACUGUUAGUUUCUGCCAAUUUUCCAAAAAUUUGUUUUUCUUAUAGUUCAUUUUCCUGCCUUCUAUAAAGAAAUUGAUAGCAGUGAGGAAAGAGGAUUAGAGUGUUCUUUAUGUAUAUGCGGGCAAACCUAUGAAGUAAUGUUGGAUUAGUUUGUAGUUGAUAGGAAACUUUAGUCGUAUUUUCUUCAUGUACUAUGCCACUUGAAGGCUUGAACUCCAUAUUUCUUGUCACAACUUACAGAAAAUUGGAAUUCGCCACGUCCAUAUCCUGUAGUUGAGGCCUUCAAUGACUAGUAUGAUUUAUAUAUUCCCAUACUCAUGUCCAGUGUGUGAGUCCUGAGUCCUGUUGAAAGCUGUGCUCCUCUUAAUUGGAGCCAUUUACCUAUGGCAAGGAGAGCAGGUGGGGUGGUUUAAUCGUCAUUUUUUUUUUUUUGAAUAUAUAUAUAUAAUAAUUCUAUUUAUCAAUUAUGAUAAUAGAAUAUCAGUGAUGCGAUAAUCUAUGUGGAAUAAUGAGAUUGUGUAGUUCAAUUUUUAUGAGAGAGGGAGAAGAGACAUGGUUUGUGACGGAUAAUGAGUUGUUGUAUCAUCGAUAUUCCAACAUCAUGAUGAUAAAAGAAUUACUCAAUUAUAAAUGGCUUAUCAUAAAGUAGAAAUUGUACUAAUGAGCUAAAAACAAAAAGACCACUAACCCAUUAAUGACCUAAUCCAAAUAUAUGAAGCCCAAUAAUUGAUUAAUGAUCAGUCCCAUCUUUCAACACAUUUACAUAAGGAAUUCGAAACGAGAUUUCUUCCAUGUAUUCAUAGUCAAAAGUAUUAAGGUUUAGAUUAAUUUUGUUUCAUAAUGAAAAAUUAUCAAUCAUAGUAGGGUAGGUCUCUAUUAUAUAGUUUUGUUUUUAUAUUUUCCGUCUCAAGUAUUCAAGUAAUUAUUUGAAUAUAGAUAAUAAAUAUUUAAAUCAAUAUUUGAAUAAUAAAUAUAUAAUUCAAUAUUUUAUAAAAAAAUAAAUAAAUUAAGGGCUUGUUUUAGAGCGAUUUUUUGACCCAAAAAAAUGAUUUUUGACCGUUAUUUUACUAUUUCAGUCGUCAUAUUUGACUUCUUUUCUCAUGGGUGGACCCCACUUUUCUCCUAACGGUCAAAAAAUCAAUUUUCAAAAUUGCUCCCAAACAGGCUCUAAAAAGUUUAAACGGUAUGGGUGGGGAUUCUCAUUCUCGCAGCCUCAAUCAGCUCAUAUAUAUUUACUAAAAUAAGUAUUAUUCAUAUUACACAUGCAUAUAAAAUUUACAUUUGAACCUAUAUUAGUAAUCUUCUUAGAAAUAUAAAUUAUUAAACAAGAAAAAAUGUAUUCUAUAUUUCAUUUGGGAUCAUUUUUCUAAUGAUCUCAAAUCUUUACCUUUUUGUAGACUUUAUCUCAAUUUUCAGUUUGUGCCAUUUAUAAUCUCAAAUCUUUUAUUUUGUUACACCACAAAAACAAAUAAAUAUGAAUUUGACCAUUAAUUGAUCUAAAAACUGAAAAUUUAACCAAAUUAUAAAGGGAUAAAACGAUGGAUCAGUCUAGAUGUACAGAAAUUUUUUUGUACGAACCUCCUACAACUAAACACACAUUGGUGUGGUGGAUGAUUUAUUUUUUGGAAUAAAAUAUUCACCUGUAAGAUUUUUGUGAAGCUUCUGACAAUGGUUUGCCUGGACACUUGGAUUUUUUCUAAAACGAUAGCUUUACAUUUUUCUAACAUUAAAUAAUUAAAUAUAAUUAAAUUAAAAAACCAAAACAAAAGAAAAUAAAACUCAUCAUCUUCUUCCACUUCUCCCCAAACAAAUAGAAAAUUGGAAAACCAUUAGCCCCCGUCGGCCCGUGGCCAAAAAAGCAUCUAACCAAAAUGGAACCCAGAUGAAAAACAUCUUCUCCACUGCCAGAUUGAGAGACAUUCUUCAAAAUCCCUGCUAAAUUGCUCAAAUUUAAAGCCAACGAGAGGCACAAUGUCCUCCAAAAUCUGGUCUUCCCAAUCAACAGUGGUGUCACCAUCUCAACUUUUCUUCUCGCGUUCAUAAUUGGAAUCGUCCUUUGCCGACUCGCUAUCACCAUCACCUCCAUCAAAUGGUGGCGAGAACACUGGCUUCCUCAAAUUAAUUACAGCAAUUGCAAUUGAUUACAGCAAAUUACAAGGUUUGAAGAUAUUACAAUCUGGAUCUUAAUUCAUCAAAUUAUAGGGAUUACAACAAAUUAAGUUGACUACAGCAAUUGCAAUCAAGAUCUUAAUAAUUCAUGAUUCUAAAAUUCAGAUGAAAGUCUGUCCCAAACUGUUAAGGUUUCGGAUCCACCCUAAUAAGGUCAACCUUAUUAAGAGGAGAAGCACAAGAACUUUAUAAAUUGGUAUUUAUUUCGGUAUUAAAUCGAUGUGGGAUAAUACAUCCCUUAAUAGGCUCCCUCAAGAUGGUGGCUCAUUUUGAACAGAUCAAUCUUGAAAUCCACGGGAUGAUUCUGAUACCAUGUUAAAAUUUGGGGUCUACCUUAUUAUCCUAAUAAGGUCAACCUUAUUAAGAGAAGAAACUUAAAAUCUUUAUAAAUUGAUAUUUAUUUCGGUAUUAAACCGAUAUGGGAUAACACAUCCCUUAACACAAACCCAGAACACGGUAACUAAAACCUGUUAAUUUCAAAUCUAAUUGAUUGUAAAGAAAAAAGCGUUGAGAUUUAUGAGGUUUGAAGAAUUUUUUUUUUUUUUUUUUUGAUAGGUGAGGUUUGAAGAAUCUUGGCAUACAAAAGCUAAAACUUACGAUAAAACUAAGGUCCUAUGAGUUGAAUGGAUGUUCUGAAAUAGUGAAAGCGAAGCACAAAUUUCAAGAUUUUUGGGUUUUGAUUUCUGGGGUUUAUGGAAACAUGAAAGCGAAGCAGAAAGUGUCGGGAUUUAUGGUGUUUGAUUUCUAUGUUUCAUAAAGAUGGAUUUUGUUACUCCCCUCACAUAGCACCUUGGCACGUCUAUUUUGUUAAACAACCCAAAGAAAAUAAAGAAGAAAAAGGAGGAGGCUAGGGUUUCAUUGAUACUACGUAAUUAAUUAAAUGCUAAAAAGAUGGUUUAACCUAAAUACAAAGAGAUAAUAUAUAGGCUAAACAAAGGAAACUAAAAAGUACUAUUCUACCCUUAAUAAAUAAUAAAUAAUCCUAUAUUUCUUAACAUCUCCCCUCAAACUCACGAUGCGGUAGCUACAAGCAUCGAGAGUUUGCCAAAUAGAAAACGAAAAUGAGAAAUAGAAUGCGACUUGGUAAAAAAAAUCUGCAAGCUGCAAAGAAGAAUAAACAAAGGGCAAAGUAAUUGUGCCAUGCUUGAGAUGAUGAUGAGUAAGAGGACAAUCGAUCUCAAUGUGCUUAGUUCGUUCAUAAAAAUCGAGUUGUGAGCAAUCUGAAUAGAAAUUUGGUUGUCGCAAUACAUAGGAGUGGGAUGAGAAAGAAAAACUCCCAUAUCUGCAAGUAACUAACGUAACCAAACAAUCUCUUUAGUAGUAGAUGCCAUAGCACAAUAUUCUGCUUUGGUGGAAGAUUGAGAAACAAUAGAUUGUUUCUUGCUUUUCCAAGAAAUAAGAUAAUCACCUAAAAAGAUACAGAAAGCAGUAACAGACUUGCGAUCUGUGGGAUCACUGCCACAAUCAGCAUCAGAGUAUGCACGUAGCUCCAAGGAGGAGGUGGAUGGAAGUAACAGACUCUGAAAGACUGUACCCCGAAGAUAUCGCAAAAUGUGAAGAACAACUGCCCAAUGAACUGUAGUGGGAGAAGCAACAAACUGACUAACAAUAUGAACAACAUAUGCAAUAUCUGGACGAGUAAUAGUGAGAUAUAUCAAGCUCCCAACAAUAGUACAGUAUAAAGUAUGAUCUGAGAAAGGUAAACCGUCAGAAGAAGAAUACUUCGUGUUAACCUCAAUUGGAGUAUCAACAAUCUUAUUAUCAGUAAGUCUUGCCCGCUCAAGAAUAUCUGCAACAUAUUUCGACUAAGAAAGAAGAUAACCUCUGGGUGAGAAGGCUACCUCAAUACCCAAGAAAUAUUAUAGAGAACCCAAAUCUUUCAUUUCAAACUGUCUAGCUAACUCUGUCUUCAAAACUGAAAUACCAUCAAUAUUAUCACCAGUAAUAAUCAUUUCAUCAACAUAUAAAGAUAGAAUGAUACGACUUGCAUCAGUACUCUUAACAAAAAGAGCAGAAUCAUGACUACUAGAAGCAAAUCCAAGGGAAGAGAUCACAACAGAAAAUUUCUUAAACCAAGCACGAGGUGUUUGUUUGAGACCAUACAACGCUUUCUUGAGCUUGCAAACAUACUCAGAAUCAUGUGAAACACCAGGAGGGGGUGCCAUAUAAACCUCUUCUUGAAAAUCUCCAUUCAGGAAGGCAUUUUUAACAUCAAGUUGAGAGAUACAUCACUGACGAACCAAAGCUACUGCAAUAAGAGUACGAAUAGUAGUCAUUUUUGCAACAUAAGCAAAUGUCUCCUCAUAAUCCAUACCAUACCGUUGAGAGUAUCCCUUUGUAACCAACCUAGCUUUGUAUCGCUCAAUUGACCCAUCAGAAUUAGUCUUGAUCUUAUAUACCCAACGACAACCAACAACACUCUUACCAGAAGGUAAAGUAACCAAAUUCCAAGUACCAGUCUUAUGCAAAGCAGAAAGUUCAUCAUUCAUAGCUUGCUGUCAAAGAGGAUCAAGAAUUGCCUCUUUAUAGGAAGAGGGCUCAGAGAGACAAUGAAUAGAAGCUAAAAAGGUAGAAAAUGAUAAAGAAUAACAAGAAUAAGCAAAAUCUGGUAACUUUGUAGACUUACGAAUGCGUAUGGAUUGACGUAGAGACGGAUCCACAAUCUCAGAUGGAGCUUGAGGGACCGUAGGAGAAGAGGACGCUUCAGGCGUGCCGGAGAGUAAAGUGUCAGUACCUGCGGAAUGAUUAGUACAAAUUGGUUGUAAAGACAACGGGGUAGGAACAUGAGAAUGACCAUUGGAAGUAGUAGGCUCCUGAGAAGACAAAUUAUCAGGAUUGUCAGAAAAAUGAUCUAUACGAAUAAGAUCAGAUCUAGUCAGACUAUAAGUAGUGGAUGGAAUAGAAAAGAAAGGCAUAUGCUCGAGAAAAACAACAUGACGAGACACGUAAAGUUUCUGAGUUAUUGGAUCAAAAAAAUGAUACCCCUUUUUACCUUCACCAUAACCAAAAAAGACACAAAUAGCAGAUCGAGAUGACAACUUGCUGCGUUCUACAUGAGGACGAAGAACGAAACAAGUACAACCAAAAACUCUAAAGAGAGAAUAAUCGGGGUAUACUCAUACAACUUUUCGAAAGGAGAAAACCCUAAAAUAUGAGAAGAUGGACUUGUAUUAAUCAAAUCUACAGCAGUAAGAACAGUUUCACCCCAAAACACACUAGGGACAGAUGCAGACAACAAGAGAGAGAGCAGUUUCAACAACGUGCGUAUGUUUUCUUUCAGCAACACCAUUUUGCUCAGGAGUAUCUGUACACGAAGUUUAGUGAAUAGUUCCAUCUAAAGUAAGAAGCUCACAAAAUUUAUUAGAAGUGUAUUCCCCACCCAAAUCACACAUAAAACAUUUGAUAACAGCAGAAUGUUGAGUUUUAACAAGAGCACGAAAGGCUAAGUAUAUCUCAAAAAAUUCAAAACGAUGUUUCAUUAAAUAAAUCCAGCAAUAACGAGUGUGAUCAUCAAUAAAGGAAACAUAAUAUCGAGAUCCUCCUUUUAUGGCAAUAGGAGAAGGCUCCCAUAUAUCAGAAUGAAUCAAAUCAAAUGGAGAAGAAGAAAUAGAAAUACUUCGAUUAAAAGGUAAAGCUGAAAAUUUUGUCAGUUUGCAUCCACUACAAUCAGAAAUAUCACAAGGGUGUAAAUUUCCUAAAGCCCCUGUAGAAGCUAAAAAUCUCAAACGAGACGACGAAACAUGACCUAGACGAGAAUGCCAUAAAUAAAAAUUAGAAGAAGAAGGACUCAAACGAAAGAAGACAAAUCAACACUAGUAGCGGCAACAGCAAUUGACACUUUUAGCUCAUCCAAAAUAUAUAGUCCACUCUUCCUACGACCUGUCCCAAUUAGUUUCUGAGACUGCAGAUCCUGCACAUAACAAGAAGAAGAGAAAAAUGUGACUAAAUUACCGGAAUCACAUAACUGACCAACAGAAGCAAGAUUUAAUGUGAGUUUCGGAAUAUGAUAAAUAUUAGGGAGGGACAAGUGAUGUGUGACAACAGAACCAACACUUGCUAAUGGCAUAGGAGUGCCAUCAGCAGUCAUGACAGCAAUAGAGGACGAAGGGGACACAGAAGCAAAAGACGAAAAAUCUGGAGACAUAUGAUGUGAAGCACCAAAAUCCAAGACCCAUACAGAAUGUGACAUACCUGAAGAACUAUGAGGCAACUGACUUAUGGAAGAAGCAGACAUAGCUUGAGGCUGUAAGGAGAGAAACUUCUGAAAUUGCUCAGCCAAAGUACUAGGAUCAGUAAAAUGACCUGAUGAAGCUACUGCUGCAGUAUUAGAUUGUGGUGGUCUAUGAGCAUUAGAUCGUGAUUGGUUGCCAGGCUUCCAAGCUUGAGAUUGCUGCUGUAAUUGAUUCGACUGUCUCAACUUAGGACACUGAGCCUUCCAAUGACCUUUAUGCUUACAGAAACUGCACUCGUCAAAGGCAACCCUUGUGUAAGGCUUAUUCUGAUUAUUAGAGGAUGGCUUAGAAGACACUGCUAAUACAGAAGGAUUAGAAGCAGAAAGAAUUCCAUUUUCAGCAUAAGACUUAUGACGUAUUUCUUUAGCCAAUCACUCACUGACAACUAAAUCAACAGAAGGAAGUGAAGAACGAUGCAAAAUUGAACCUCCGAGUCCUUCAAAAUCACUACGAAGUGCCGUUAAAAAUUGUACCAACCGUUGCUGCUCUCUACGAGUAAUAUAGGCAGCACAUGCCUUUAAUUCUGUCGUUUCUGUAAGGGCCAAUUGAUCCCAAAGAUCUGUCAUAGCAGAAUAAAACUCCUGAAUACUUAUAUUAUUUUGAUGAAGAGCUCGUAUAUCAUUCUCCAAUUGAUACUGCUUUGCAAAAUUUGACUGAGUGAAUAAUCUUUGCAGAUGAUCCCAAACCUCCUUUGCCGUCUCAUACUUCACCAACUCUCUACCUAUGGAAUGCUCCACAGAGUUGUUAAUCCAAGUAAUAAUUUUUGAAUUGUUUGAUUCCCACGUAUCUAUUAAAGCAGCAUAACCCUCAUUGGUAUUCUCAGGUUUCACAGAAGUUCCACUAAUGAAUCCUCACAUCUUUUACCCUUAAGAAAAUUUUUCACACGUAACUCCAAUACGAAUAAUUCUUUCCAUCCAACCUCACACUCACAGACUGAAGCGAAUCGUCUCUUUCAAUAGCCAUAAUAAAAAAAUAACAGAUUGCAGAAAUACCGGAUUGCAAAUUUAACAGAUUUGUCCCAUGAAAUCUAACUCUGAUACCAUGUUAAACAACCCAAAGAAAAAAAAGAAAAAAAAAGGAGGAGACUAGGGUUUCAUUGAUACUAUGUAAUUAAUUGAAUGCUAAAAAGAUGGUUUAACGUAAAUACAAAGAGAAUAUAUUUAGGCUAAACAAAGGAAACUAAAAAAGACUAUUCUACCCUUAAUAAAUAAUAAAUAAUCAUAUAUUUCUUAACAUAUUUUAGACGCCAACAGAGGCAUGAGGUCAUCGAAGUGAUACAGUUUGAGGCGUCUUCAUGUUUCGAGGCGUUGCUUUCGAAGUGUGAGAUGACCAAAGCACCUCUUCGCCAUGAGUUUCACAAAUGGAUCUUUUGGUCAAAAUUGUCUCUGUGUCUUUAAGAAUGAUUGAUGUGAUAUCUCUAUCAUAUGUUAAUUCAAAAUGAGAAGAAUUAAUUGUCCGCCCAUCUAGGAAGCGACUGAUGAACUCCUACAAGCUCGCACCGUGGGAUAAUUAAACGUCUCGCAUCUAGUGGUGCUUUCACCUCUAAAUACCAAGAACUUGACCAAGAAUAAGAGAUGUAUGACAUACGUGUUAUUCCACAACCAAGAUAUUAUAUUUUCUCCUUCCAAGAGUUUGUGCAUUUCGGCAUCGUCACCACCAUCGUCAACUAACUUGAUCGUCGGAGUGUAUGUGGCCAUCAUCUCUACCGCUGGUACUGGCCAUAUACGUCUGAUCGUUUGUUGUUGCACGCAAGAAAGAACAGGUGGAGGGUCCAAUUCGCAUGGUCAACAGAUUUGAUUUUUGGUUUUCAUUCCGGUGGUCGACGGUUAGCAGGGCUAGUAAUUUUCCAGUUUCGAUUUAUUUGGGGUGGAAUGGUGAGUAGGGUAGUAUGGUGGAAGAAGAUAAUGAGUUUUAUUUUCUUUCAUUUUGAGUUUUUUUUUUAAUUAAAUUAUUUAAUGCGAAGGUAUUUAAAACUUUCGAUAAAACUAAGGUCUUAUUAGUGUUCACAAUUCAAAGUUUACACGUCUACCACACGGAAAUAUGAAUUAUUUUAUAAUCAAUUUAUUAUUUAUCACGAGUCAAGAAAAGACCGACAAGUUUGCCACUUGUGUAAUUAGAAACCGACACUUUGACUAAUGAUGACGCAAACACAUACUACAGGAAACAUAAUUAAUAACGUCAUUAAAUCCUCAAUGAUUUGAAGUAAUCAAUAAAGUCGAAGAAAGUCAGUCGGUGGAAGUAGUUAAUUAACUAAUCACGUCAAACACGACCUUUAAGAC
RNAcentral lists this long non-coding RNA (9484 nucleotides) under Olea europaea (common olive). RNAcentral's name for it is "long non-coding RNA (OEUR_LNC002770)". Lineage: Eukaryota; Viridiplantae; Streptophyta; Magnoliopsida; Lamiales; Oleaceae. The record is from RNAcentral.